Molecule: long non-coding RNA, 508 nt
Filed under: Medicago truncatula (barrel medic)
Lineage: Eukaryota; Viridiplantae; Streptophyta; Magnoliopsida; Fabales; Fabaceae
Description: long non-coding RNA (MTRU_LNC002126)
Source: RNAcentral
AAUUUAAGAAAUUACAUGUGAUGAAUCUCUUGCAUCUUAAAGAGAAUCAAAGUGGUGUUAUUUGAUUUCAAUUUAAGAAAUUACAUGUGAUAAAUUUCUUGCAUCUUAAAAUAAACACUCAAGCAUCUCUACAGUCCGACAAUGGCGGAGAUUUUUUAUUUAUUCUUACCAACAUAAAAUUGAACCAAGUAUUGAGAUAAAUUUCAAACAAAUUAACAAACUUUGAGAAAUUGAAUAAACGAUGGGUGUCUCUGCCAAAUUGGGUGCCUCUAUGGGUAUCUCAAUCUAUUGUGUUUUAAUUCCAUGCGGUGCUUGAUUUUAAAGAACUCUUUUUAUGAAUCAACAUGUGGUUCUUCAAAUUAAAGGAAGACCUUUGUAAAAAAUUCCACAAAGCUUAUCAAUAUCAUGAACCAGAACAGGGAUAGAAUGAAUUGAAUGUCACAGGGAAUGAGAAAAGUUUCAACGCAAAAGAGAGAGAAAGGCGCUAGUGCCAAGGAAGGGAAAAGAA